This 301-nucleotide ribosomal RNA is filed under the name uncultured bacterium. Its description in RNAcentral is "partial 16S ribosomal RNA". It matches the Rfam family "Bacterial small subunit ribosomal RNA", at positions 509 to 807 of the family's 1533-position model. The record is from RNAcentral.
CAGUAGCCGCGGUAAUACGAAGGGUGCAAGCGUUAAUCGGAAUUACUGGGCGUAAAGCGUGCGUAGGUGGUGGUUUAAGUCCGUUGUGAAAGCCCUGGGCUCAACCUGGGAAUUGCAGUGGAUACUGGGUCACUAGAGUGUGGUAGAAGAUAGUGGAAUUUCCGGUGUAGCAGUGAAAUGCGUAGAGAUCGGAAGGAACAUCUGUGGCGAAGGCGACUAUCUGGGCCAACACUGACACUGAGGCACGAAAGCGUGGGGAGCAAACAGGAUUAGAUACCCCGGUAGUCCCUGUCUCUUAUAC